UCACUUUCAACAACGGAUCUCUUGGUUCUCGCAUCGAUGAAGAACGUAGCGAAGUGCGAUAAGUAGUGUGAAUUGCAGAAUUCCGUGAAUCAUCGAAUCUUUGAACGCAAAUUGCACUCCCUGGUAUUCCGGGGAGUAUGCCUGUUUGAGGGUCAGUC
Molecule: ribosomal RNA, 158 nt
Filed under: uncultured Glomus
Lineage: Eukaryota; Fungi; Glomeromycota; Glomeromycetes; Glomerales; Glomeraceae
Description: 5.8S ribosomal RNA
Rfam family: 5.8S ribosomal RNA
About the family: 5.8S ribosomal RNA (5.8S rRNA) is a component of the large subunit of the eukaryotic ribosome. It is transcribed by RNA polymerase I as part of the 45S precursor that also contains 18S and 28S rRNA.
Source: RNAcentral